This 311-nucleotide long non-coding RNA is filed under the name Hordeum vulgare. RNAcentral describes it as "long non-coding RNA (HVUL_LNC008972)". Lineage: Eukaryota; Viridiplantae; Streptophyta; Magnoliopsida; Poales; Poaceae. The record is from RNAcentral.
UCAUCACAUUAAAGCCAAAGUACAGGAGUGACCAAAAUAAAUACAUAACGUUCUUACAUAGUUAUAAUUAUUGAACAACAUAUAGCUCUCUAGAGCAUCUAAUUAGAACAUACAUUGAAACUACUAAAUUUAAAUGCAACAACAAAUGCGAUCAUAACCGCAACUAAGGUACAAAUUGAUCCAACGACAUAAUGAUACCAAGCCUCAGUAUAAAUGACAUAUUUUCUAAUGUUUUUAAUCUUCAAGCGCAUUGCAUUCAUCUUGAUCUUGUGAUCGUCACGCACAUCGGCAACAUCCAACUCCAAUAUCAU